GAUGAACGCUGGCGGCGUGCCUAAUACAUGCAAGUCGAGCGAACGGACGAGAAGCUUGCUUCUCUGAUGUUAGCGGCGGACGGGUGAGUAACACGUGGAUAACCUACCUAUAAGACUGGGAUAACUUCGGGAAACCGGAGCUAAUACCGGAUAAUAUUUUGAACCGCAUGGUUCAAAAGUGAAAGACGGUCUUGCUGUCACUUAUAGAUGGAUCCGCGCUGCAUUAGCUAGUUGGUAAGGUAACGGCUUACCAAGGCAACGAUGCAUAGCCGACCUGAGAGGGUGAUCGGCCACACUGGAACUGAGACACGGUCCAGACUCCUACGGGAGGCAGCAGUAGGGAAUCUUCCGCAAUGGGCGAAAGCCUGACGGAGCAACGCCGCGUGAGUGAUGAAGGUCUUCGGAUCGUAAAACUCUGUUAUUAGGGAAGAACAUAUGUGUAAGUAACUGUGCACAUCUUGACGGUACCUAAUCAGAAAGCCACGGCUAACUACGUGCCAGCAGCCGCGGUAAUACGUAGGUGGCAAGCGUUAUCCGGAAUUAUUGGGCGUAAAGCGCGCGUAGGCGGUUUUUUAAGUCUGAUGUGAAAGCCCACGGCUCAACCGUGGAGGGUCAUUGGAAACUGGAAAACUUGAGUGCAGAAGAGGAAAGUGGAAUUCCAUGUGUAGCGGUGAAAUGCGCAGAGAUAUGGAGGAACACCAGUGGCGAAGGCGACUUUCUGGUCUGCAACUGACGCUGAUGUGCGAAAGCGUGGGGAUCAAACAGGAUUAGAUACCCUGGUAGUCCACGCCGUAAACGAUGAGUGCUAAGUGUUAGGGGGUUUCCGCCCCUUAGUGCUGCAGCUAACGCAUUAAGCACUCCGCCUGGGGAGUACGACCGCAAGGUUGAAACUCAAAGGAAUUGACGGGGACCCGCACAAGCGGUGGAGCAUGUGGUUUAAUUCGAAGCAACGCGAAGAACCUUACCAAAUCUUGACAUCCUUUGACAACUCUAGAGAUAGAGCCUUCCUCUUCGGGGGACAAAGUGACAGGUGGUGCAUGGUUGUCGUCAGCUCGUGUCGUGAGAUGUUGGGUUAAGUCCCGCAACGAGCGCAACCCUUAAGCUUAGUUGCCAUCAUUAAGUUGGGCACUCUAAGUUGACUGCCGGUGACAAACCGGAGGAAGGUGGGGAUGACGUCAAAUCAUCAUGCCCCUUAUGAUUUGGGCUACACACGUGCUACAAUGGACAAUACAAAGGGCAGCGAAACCGCGAGGUCAAGCAAAUCCCAUAAAGUUGUUCUCAGUUCGGAUUGUAGUCUGCAACUCGACUACAUGAAGCUGGAAUCGCUAGUAAUCGUAGAUCAGCAUGCUACGGUGAAUACGUUCCCGGGUCU
Molecule: ribosomal RNA, 1372 nt
Filed under: uncultured bacterium
Lineage: Bacteria
Description: bacterial SSU rRNA
Rfam family: Bacterial small subunit ribosomal RNA
Source: RNAcentral